CUCUCUCUCUCUCUCUCGCAAAUUCUGGAUGUACCUCCUUAAUGGGGUGAUGGGUUCCACAAAUUUUGGUUUCAUUGCUACAGUUCUUUAAGUUCUUUAUAUAUUCUAGGAAUAAGCAAAUUGAGCUAGUUCAAAAAGGACUAAGCAAACUGGUUUCAUUCCUAUGGAUCAAUACUCAGUUCAGGAACCUCUUCUUUCAAGUCAAGGUGUCAAGAAGAAGCCUCUCUUUGUAUCAUCAGCGAAAUGGGUUCUCAAGAUUCUAAUUUGGGUGAUUUUCAUUGCAUGGGUUGUUUUUAUCUUUGUGUAUCCAACACAAUUGGGCAAUGAAAUAUUUGAGAAAUGUAUUGGAGCCACCAAGGGAACUCCUUUUGGUCUUUCAGGAAGCAUAUUCUUAUUAUUGAGUGGACCGAUUCUUCUUAUUGCAAUUCUUGCUAUUGCACAUCUUAUCAUCUCUGGGGAAGAGGAUAUCCAGCAGAAGAAGAAUUCAAAGUAUCCACGUGUCCGCUUGUGGACAUUUCCUGUUCUCGUGGGUGGACCAUUUGGGGUUGUUUCUGCUGCUGAGUUCAUUGGGAUUCUUCUCUUUGUUGUGUACAUCAUCUGGGCUGUUUAUGCCUAUACAAUAAGGAAUCUCAGCCUUAUCUCCAAUUGGCAUUUUACUUCUAAAGAGGAAGGCAUCUGGCUAUUAGAAUUGACAGGGCUUCGACUUGGUAUGAUUGGAUUAUUUUGCUUGGCAUUUCUAUUCCUUCCGGUGGCAAGAGGAUCAGUUCUUCUCCGCCUUAUUGAUAUCCCUUUUGAGCAUGCUACAAGAUACCAUGUGUGGUUGGGACACUUGACAAUGCUGCUCUUUACCCUCCAUGGGCUAUUUUAUGUAAUUGGAUGGGGAAUGCAGGGUAAUCUGCAAUAUGAAAUAAUGGAAUGGAGAGAUGUUGGAAUUGCCAAUUUUGCAGGUGUUGUCAGCCUUUUAGCCGGACUUCUGAUGUGGGUGACAUCACUUCCUGGUGUGAGACAGUGGAGUUUUGAAUUGUUUUUUUACACCCAUCAACUAUAUGUGGUCUUUGUCCUCUUCUUGGCGUUCCAUGUUGGUGAUUUUAUUUUCAGCAUGUCUGCUGGUGGAAUAUUUCUUUUCAUGCUUGAUCGGUUUUUGAGAUUUUGCCAAUCACGAAGGACUGUAGAUGUAGUUUCAGCCAAGUGCCAUCCAUGUGGAACUGUGGAAUUGGUCUUUUCAAAACCAGGAAACUUGCGAUAUAAUGCCCUUAGUUUCGUUUUUCUUCAAAUCCGGGAAUUAUCAUGGCUGCAAUGGCAUCCUUUCAGCGUCUCAUCUAGCCCUUUGGAUGGUAAAAAUCAUCUAUCCAUUCUCAUAAAGGUCCUCGGGAGAUGGACAGAGAAGCUUAGAGAAAACAUCAUGAAAACAUCUGAGGUAGAAACAGCAAAAUUGCUGGACCAACCUUUCCAACCGCAUGCCAAGAUAACAGCUUCUGUUGAGGGGCCAUAUGGGCAUGAAGUACCAUAUCACUUGAUGUAUGAGAACCUCAUUCUAGUAGCUGGUGGAAUAGGAAUUUCACCUUUCUUGGCAAUCUUGAGCGAUAUUCUCCACCGUAUUAAUGAAGGCAGACCCUGCUUACCCAAAAAUGUUUUAGUUAUUUGGGCUGUCAAAAAAUCAAAUGAGCUUCCUCUUCUGUCAACCAUCAACAUGGAGUCAAUUUGUCCAUAUUUCUCUGACAAACUAAAUCUGGAGAUUUGCAUUUAUGUUACUCGUGAAACAGAUCCCCAAUUGGAAGAGGGGAUUGUUCACAAGGCUACAACUUCUUCUAUCUGCACUGCCACUAAGGGAUAUGGCAUGUCAGUUUUGGUUGGUACAGGUGAUAACAUAUGGUCUGGACUUUACAUUAUUUGUUCUACAGUGGGCUUUGUUAGUCUUCUGGGUUUGUUAGAUGUGUUCUAUAUAAACCGAUAUGGCAUACAAUCAUGGUGGUAUAAAGGACUUCUUUUUGUAGCAUGUAUGGUUGCCAGUAUUGUUAUCUUUGGAGGUUGUGUGGUUGGUUUGUGGCAUCUGUGGGAAAGGAAAACUUUGGCCAGGGAGGAACACUUGGACAACAGGAUGAAGGCUGAGAAGGUGCCAGAUAAUGAAGAUAUGACAAAUGAUAAUUUCUUUGAGAAAAAACAUUCAAGCUUUACUGUGAUACAGUAUGGUUCAAGACCAGACUUCAAAGAAAUUCUUGGAUGCGUAUCGAAGCGAUGGGGCUUUGUUGAUGUAGGGGUGAUUAUAUGUGGUCCUCCAACUCUUCAGUGCAGUGUUGCUAGAGAAAUCAGGUCUCAGAAUUUGAGGAGGGAAUCUGAUGAUCCUGUUUUCCAUUUCCACAGUCAUAGCUUUGAUCUGUAGCCAAAUGCUGCAAUAUGUUCCUUCUUACAGCAUUAGGUUGCAGUAUGUAUAUCUUAUAGCAAGUAAAUCUCUAAAAUAUGAGAUAGGAUGUUGUCUAUUUAGCAUGUAGAUUGUAAUGUAUGUAAUCAGCACUUUCCCUCUUU
Molecule: unclassified non-coding RNA, 2523 nt
Filed under: Hevea brasiliensis (rubber tree)
Lineage: Eukaryota; Viridiplantae; Streptophyta; Magnoliopsida; Malpighiales; Euphorbiaceae
Source: RNAcentral